UCUGGCGAAGACGGUACACGCCGCGUGAGGGAGGAGGUCUUUGGAUUGUAAACCUCUUUUCUCAAGGAAGAAGUUCUGACGGUACUUGAGGAAUCAGCCUCGGCUAACUCCGUGCCAGCAGCCGCGGUAAUACGGGGGAGGCAAGCGUUAUCCGGAAUUAUUGGGCGUAAAGCGUCCGCAGGUGGUCAGCCAAGUCUGCCGUCAAAUCAGGUUGCUUAACGACCUAAAGGCGGUGGAAACUGGCAGACUAGAGAGCAGUAGGGGUAGCAGGAAUUCCCAGUGUAGCGGUGAAAUGCGUAGAGAUUGGGAAGAACAUCGGUGGCGAAAGCGUGCUACUGGGCUGUAUCUGACACUCAGGGACGAAAGCUAGGGGAGCGAAAGGGAUUAGAUACCCCUGUAGUCA
Molecule: ribosomal RNA, 403 nt
Filed under: uncultured cyanobacterium
Lineage: Bacteria; Bacillati; Cyanobacteriota
Description: bacterial SSU rRNA
Rfam family: Bacterial small subunit ribosomal RNA
Source: RNAcentral